AUCGUUUGGAUUGAAGAAAAGCUU
This 24-nucleotide small RNA is filed under the name Arabidopsis thaliana (thale cress). RNAcentral's name for it is "ATSL258620". The record is from RNAcentral. Lineage: Eukaryota; Viridiplantae; Streptophyta; Magnoliopsida; Brassicales; Brassicaceae.